GACGAACGCUGGCGGCGUGCUUAACACAUGCAAGUCGAGCGAGAAAAUUCCCUUCGGGGAUGAUUCUAGCGGCGGACGGGUGAGUAACACGUGGGUAACCUGCCUUAUAGUGGGGAAUAGCCUUCCGAAAGGGAGAUUAAUACCGCAUAAGAUUGUAGCUUCGCAUGAAGUAGCAAUUAAAGGAGCAAUUCGCUAUAAGAUGGACCCGCGUCGCAUUAGCUAGUUGGUGAGGUAACGGCUCAACAAGGCGACGAUGCGUAGCCGACCUGAGAGGGUGAUCGGCCACAUUGGGACUGAGACACGGCCCAGAGUCCUACGGGAGGCAGCCGUGGGGAAUAUUGCACAAUGGGGGAAACCCUGAUGCAGCAACGCCGCGUGAGUGAUGAAGGUCUUCGGAUUGUAAAACUCUGUCUUUGGGGACGAUAAUGACGGUACCCAAGGAGGAAGCCACGGCUAACUACGUGCCAGCCGCCGCCGUAA
RNAcentral lists this ribosomal RNA (480 nucleotides) under uncultured bacterium. Its description in RNAcentral is "partial 16S ribosomal RNA". It matches the Rfam family "Bacterial small subunit ribosomal RNA", at positions 28 to 523 of the family's 1533-position model. The record is from RNAcentral.